Desarmillaria ectypa is the source of this 107-nucleotide non-coding RNA. NCBI's taxonomy places the organism in Eukaryota, Fungi, Basidiomycota, Agaricomycetes, Agaricales, Physalacriaceae. The record is from the annotation of a GenBank genome assembly.
GGCACUAUAGCCAAGUGGUUAAGGCGACAGAUUAGAACAACCUAAAGAUGAGGUGUUUAUCUAUCUGUUACUCUCUGAGUGCGCAGGUUCAAAUCCUGCUGGUGUCG